This 254-nucleotide ribosomal RNA is filed under the name uncultured bacterium. Its description in RNAcentral is "partial 16S ribosomal RNA". It matches the Rfam family "Bacterial small subunit ribosomal RNA", at positions 524 to 776 of the family's 1533-position model. The record is from RNAcentral.
UACGUAGGCAGCAAGCGUUGUUCGGAGUUACUGGGCGUAAAGAGCUCGUAGGCGGUUUGGUGAGUCGGGUGUGAAAUCUCCACGCUCAACGUGGAGGGGCCACCCGAUACUGCCAUGACUAGAGUCCGGUAGGGGAGUGUGGAAUUCCCGGUGUAGCGGUGAAAUGCGCAGAUAUCGGGAAGAACACCCGUGGCGAAGGCGGCUCUCUGGGACGGUACUGACGCUGAGACGCGAAAGCGUGGGGAGCGAACAGG